RNAcentral lists this ribosomal RNA (692 nucleotides) under uncultured bacterium. RNAcentral's name for it is "bacterial SSU rRNA". It matches the Rfam family "Bacterial small subunit ribosomal RNA", at positions 94 to 773 of the family's 1533-position model. The record is from RNAcentral.
AGUGGCGGACGGGUGAGUAACACGUGGACAAUCUGCCCCCCGGACGGGGAUAGCCCAUGGAAACAUGGGGUAAUACCGGAUACGACCACGGGUGCACAAGCACCUGUGAGGAAAGGCGCCAAGGCGCCGUCGGGGGAUGAGUCCGCGGUCCAUUAGCUAGUUGGCGGGGUAACGGCCCACCAAGGCGACGAUGGAUAGCCGGCCUGAGAGGGCGACCGGCCACAUUGGGACUGAGACACGGCCCAGACUCCUACGGGAGGCAGCAGCUAAGAAUCUUCCGCAAUGGACGAAAGUCUGACGGAGCGACGCCGCGUGAACGAUGAAGGCCGUGAGGUUGUAAAGUUCUUUUCCAGGGGAGGAAUAAGGAUGGCAGGGAAUGGCCGUCCGAUGACGUGAACCUGGGAAUAAGCCCCGGCUAACUACGUGCCAGCAGCCGCGGUAACACGUAGGGGGCGAGCGUUGUUCGGAAUCAUUGGGCGUAAAGGGUGCGCAGGCGGCAUGUCAAGUCUGGUGUGAAAGACCCCGGCUCAACCGGGGGGACGCGCUGGAAACUGACGUGCUGGAGUACAGGAGGGGGAGUUGGAAUUCCAGGUGUAGGGGUGAAAUCUGUAGAUAUCUGGAAGAACACCGGUGGCGAAGGCGAACUCCUGGCCAUGUACUGACGCUGAGGCACGAAGGCGUGGGGAGCAAAC